This 74-nucleotide transfer RNA is filed under the name Strongylocentrotus purpuratus (purple sea urchin). RNAcentral's name for it is "tRNA-Tyr (GTA) (tRNA-Tyr-GTA-4-1)". It matches the Rfam family "tRNA". Rfam says of the family: Transfer RNA (tRNA) molecules are approximately 80 nucleotides in length. Their secondary structure includes four short double-helical elements and three loops (D, anti-codon, and T loops). The record is from RNAcentral. Lineage: Eukaryota; Metazoa; Echinodermata; Echinoidea; Camarodonta; Strongylocentrotidae.
CCGUCGAUAGCUCAGUUGGUAGAGCGGGAGACUGUAGAUCUCUAGGUCGGCUGGUUCGAAUCCGGCUCGACGGA